UUGCAGUGAUGAUGUAAUGAAUUUCUUCACCUGAGAAUUCAUGAAGAUCCAAAACGAGCUUUUUAAAACUGAGCAAA
Ylistrum balloti is the source of this 77-nucleotide small nucleolar RNA. NCBI's taxonomy places the organism in Eukaryota, Metazoa, Mollusca, Bivalvia, Pectinida, Pectinidae. The record is from RefSeq and is a predicted model, not a curated record.